Molecule: non-coding RNA, 571 nt
Organism: Phascolarctos cinereus (koala)
Lineage: Eukaryota; Metazoa; Chordata; Mammalia; Diprotodontia; Phascolarctidae
Source: RefSeq, a predicted model, not a curated record
CCUAGUUGAUCUAAAUUUGAUAAGUCAUUGCAUUGCAUGAGAAAUAUACAGAAAGAGAUGGAAAUGUAGGUCUGCAGUUAAGGAGAAAGAUAUGGACUAGAGGGAGAGUUUUUAAAGUUAUGACAAUGAGGAUAUCGAAGGAUUGAGAAGACCUAUCUAUUUUAUAACCAAUGAAAGAGAAUAAUAUAUUGAUACUGGAUGAGACGGGGGAUGACUACUAAACCAAGGUCCUCUAGGAGGUCUUCCUGACUCUAGGACUAAUGUUCGAUCCACUGUGUCACUUCAUUGACUCUGAGCAGCUGGAAAUACAUCAACAGAUUUCACAAGUGGUGACUAUGAGGGCAGAGGGGAGAACUGAAGGAGGAUCUGAGGCCAGGGGCACCAUCCCUCAUACCCCAGAAUUAAAGGUGAUUACAAUAACAAAUUGCUGUGAAUUGAUAAACAAAGAGCGGGGAAAGGAGAAAGAAUCCAACCAUACAAAGUUACUGUGGGAAUAGAGAAGACUGUUAUUUGUCUUUGGAGGAGGAUAUUCAAGCAAAAAGAAAAAAGGCUUCUUUUACCCCAAAGCUUA